GAAGGGCUGUCCCUAGUACGAGAGGACCGGGACGGACGAACCUCUGGUGUGCCAGUUGUUCUGCCAAGGGCAUGGCUGGUUGGCUACGUUCGGGAGGGAUAACCGCUGAAAGCAUCUAAGCGGGAAGCCUGCUUCGAGAUGAGUAUUCCCACCUCCUUGAGAGGGUAAGGCUCCCAGUAGACGACUGGGUUGAUAGGCCGGAUAUGGAAGCCCUGUAAGGGGUGGAGUUGACCGGUACUAAUAGGCCGAGGGCUUGUCCUCAGUUG
RNAcentral lists this ribosomal RNA (266 nucleotides) under Streptomyces albidoflavus. RNAcentral describes it as "partial 23S ribosomal RNA". It matches the Rfam family "Bacterial large subunit ribosomal RNA", at positions 2666 to 2925 of the family's 2925-position model. The record is from RNAcentral. Lineage: Bacteria; Bacillati; Actinomycetota; Actinomycetes; Kitasatosporales; Streptomycetaceae.